UACGGAAGGGCAGCAGUGGGGAAUAUUGCACAAUGGGCGCAAGCCUGAUGCAGCCAUGCCGCGUGUAUGAAAAAGGCCUUCGGGUUGUAAAGUACUUUCAGUCGUGAGGAAGGUGUUAAGGUUAAUAACCUUAGCAAUUGACGUUAGCGACAGAAGAAGCACCGGCUAACUCCGUGCCAGCAGCCGCGGUAAUACGGAGGGUGCGAGCGUUAAUCGGAAUUACUGGGCGUAAAGGGCACGCAGGCGGUUAAUUAAGUUGGAUGUGAAAUCCCCGGGCUUAACCUGGGAAUGGCAUUCAAGACUGGUUAGCUAGAGUCUUGUAGAGGGGGUUAGAAUUCCAUGUGUAGCGGUGAAAUGCGUAGAGAUGUGGAGGAAUACCGGUGGCGAAGGCGGCCCCUGGACAAAGACUGACGCUCAUGUGCGAAAGCUGGGGAGCAAACAGGGAUUACGAUACC
Molecule: ribosomal RNA, 455 nt
Filed under: uncultured bacterium
Lineage: Bacteria
Description: bacterial SSU rRNA
Rfam family: Bacterial small subunit ribosomal RNA
Source: RNAcentral